AAUCCAAUCAAGCCUGGCUUGGUGUUGGGCGUCGGGGACUCCCCGCGCCCCAAUUUCACCGGCUGGCCGUCGCCCGUCUUAGCGUUGUGACACAUUUUCGCUAGCGAUCGGGGGGCGGACAGGCCGUCACAAUUCAUGAAUUUCAGUCGAAGUUCGAUCAA
This 161-nucleotide unclassified non-coding RNA is filed under the name uncultured Capnodiales. RNAcentral's name for it is "sequence contains ITS2". The record is from RNAcentral. Lineage: Eukaryota; Fungi; Ascomycota; Dothideomycetes; Capnodiales.